This 490-nucleotide ribosomal RNA is filed under the name uncultured bacterium. RNAcentral's name for it is "partial 16S ribosomal RNA". It matches the Rfam family "Bacterial small subunit ribosomal RNA", at positions 29 to 507 of the family's 1533-position model. The record is from RNAcentral.
AGUGAACGCUGGCGGUAGGCCUAACACAUGCAAGUCGAACGGCAGCACAGGAGAGCUUGCUCUCUGGGUGGCGAGUGGCGGACGGGUGAGGAAUACAUCGGAAUCUGCCCAGUCGUGGGGGAUAACGUAGGGAAACUUACGCUAAUACCGCAUACGACCUUCGGGUGAAAGAGGGGGAUCGCAAGACCUCUCGCGAUUGGAUGAGCCGAUGUCGGAUUAGCUAGUUGGCGGGGUGAUGGCCCACCAAGGCGACGAUCCGUAGCUGGUCUGAGAGGAUGAUCAGCCACACUGGAACUGAGACACGGUCCAGACUCCUACGGGAGGCAGCAGUGGGGAAUAUUGGACAAUGGGCGCAAGCCUGAUCCAGCCAUACCGCGUGGGUGAAGAAGGCCUUCGGGUUGUAAAGCCCUUUUGUUGGGAAAGAAAUCUUUCAGGCUAAUACCCUGGGAGGAUGACGGUACCCAAAGAAUAAGCACCGGCUAACUUCGUG